AUAAAAGUUUGAAAAUAAAAGUUUGAAAAUAAAAGUUUGAAAAUAAAAGUUUGAAGUUCGUUCGUAGUCAGGAAAAAAGCCUGCGAAUACCGCCUUUUACGCAGGCUGAGCCUGAUAUUUACAUUUCAAAAACGUAUUAAAUUUGUGAGGAAAACACAAAGAAAAAUCAUAACAUAAGCGUGUCGUUUACAUGUGAUAGAGAUUUCCCUUGAUUUACAUAAACUUUAACUUUGAUUUUCUCGACUUACACAACGUAUUUUUUGAAAAUUACGUUGCCAAUGACCGUAGUAUAGAGCGAUCGUUUUUGA
Paramuricea clavata is the source of this 308-nucleotide non-coding RNA. NCBI's taxonomy places the organism in Eukaryota, Metazoa, Cnidaria, Anthozoa, Malacalcyonacea, Plexauridae. The record is from the annotation of a GenBank genome assembly.